This 1431-nucleotide ribosomal RNA is filed under the name uncultured organism. Its description in RNAcentral is "SSU rRNA". It matches the Rfam family "Bacterial small subunit ribosomal RNA". The record is from RNAcentral.
GCGGCGCACAUAAGACAUGCAAGUCGAACGGACUUAACCAUUAGUUUACUAUUGGAGCGGUUAGUGGCGGACUGGUGAGUAACACGUAAGCAGCCUGCCUAUCAGAGGGGAACAACAGUUAGAAAUGACUGCUAAUACCGCAUAUGCCUUAAUUACCACAUGGUAAUAGAGGGAAAGGAGUAAUCCGCUGAUAGAUGGGCUUGCGUCUGAUUAGAUAGUUGGUAAGGUAACGGCUUACCAAGUCGACGAUCAGUAGCCGGACUGAGAGGUUGAACGGCCACAUUGGGACUGAGAUACGGCCCAGACUCCUACGGGAGGCAGCAGUCGGGAAUAUUGCGCAAUGGAGGAAACUCUGACGCAGUGACGCCGCGUGCAGGAAGAAGGUUUUCGGAUUGUAAACUGCUUUAGACAGGGAAGAAACAAGACAGUACCUGUAGAAUAAGCUCCGGCUAACUACGUGCCAGCAGCCGCGGUAAUACGUAGGGAGCAAGCGUUAUCCGGAUUUAUUGGGUGUAAAGGGUGCGUAGACGGGAAUGCAAGUUGGUUGUGAACUCCCUCGGCUCAACCGAGGAAUUGCAACCAAAACUAUAUUUCUUGAGUGCUGGAGAGGAAAGUGGAAUUCCUAGUGUAGCGGUGAAAUGCGUAGAUAUUAGGAGGAACACCAGUGGCGAAGGCGACUUUCUGGACAGUAACUGACGUUGAGGCACGAAAGUGUGGGGAGCAAACAGGAUUAGAUACCCUGGUAGUCCACACCGUAAACGAUGGAUACUAGGUGUAGGGGAUGAAUAAUCUUCUGUGCCGUCGCAAACGCAGUAAGUAUCCCACCUGGGGAGUACGGCCGCAAGGUUGAAACUCAAAGGAAUUGACGGGGGCCCGCACAAGCAGUGGAGUAUGUGGUUUAAUUCGACGCAACGCGAAGAACCUUACCAGGGCUUGACAUAUACAUGAAAAUCUAAGAGAUUAGAUCCCUCUUCGGAGCAUGUAUACAGGUGGUGCAUGGUUGUCGUCAGCUCGUGUCGUGAGAUGUUGGGUUAAGUCCCGCAACGAGCGCAACCCCUGUUCUUAGUUGCCAGCAUGUAAAGAUGGGAACUCUAAGAAGACUGCCGGUGAUAAAUCGGAGGAAGGUGGGGACGACGUCAAAUCAUCAUGCCCUUUAUGUCCUGGGCUACACACGUACUACAAUGGCUGUAACAAAGGGAAGCGAACCCGCGAGGGGAAGCAAAACCCAUAAAAGCAGUCUCAGUUCGGAUUGAAGGCUGAAAUUCGCCUUCAUGAAGCCGGAAUUGCUAGUAAUGGCAGGUCAGCAUACUGCCGUGAAUACGUUCCCGGGCCUUGUACACACCGCCCGUCACACCAUGAGAGUUGGGGAUACCCGAAGCCUGUGAGCUAACUGUAAAGAGGCAGCAGUCGAAGGUAGAAUCAAUGAUUGGG